Zea mays is the source of this 1517-nucleotide RNA transcript. RefSeq lists it as uncharacterized. The record is from RefSeq and is a predicted model, not a curated record. Lineage: Eukaryota; Viridiplantae; Streptophyta; Magnoliopsida; Poales; Poaceae. The transcript has 4 exons.
CCGCGCUGUCCAUGGAAGCUAAAUUGAUGAAUCUAUAUGUUUUAGUUUCCAUUUCCUAAACAUAACUAAGAAGCUUAUCCAGGGAAAUCAUUUUAGCUUUUUGCUGCUCCUUAUGUGCUUUAGAUUCAGCAAGACAAUUCAAACUUUGCAAGUUUUGGAAGACUAAUACCUAACUUUUUGGUAACUCGAAUGAAACAUGCACAUACAGAUCACCCUGAUUACACGAUUAAUGGAGAGGAGGUACAUGGGGUGGGGUCCUAGAACAUACUGUAAUGUAUCAGGAGAUGGCGGCGAGCUAGGUACUGGAGCGGCGGGGACUAAAGCUCUAGCGGCAUGAAGAUGUUUACUUGGUCAGGCUUUCUCUUCCCAGAACUGUAGAAGUCAAUCAGACACUCCCUAAAGAAACAUCAAAAUCCAACAAGUAAUGGGAGAAAGCAUGUCAGUAGUACAUAACUCCAUUAAACUACAUCCCGUUAUUACUAUAUAUUUAUAAAAAAAUUGUCGGAUCUCAUCCAAGCUGAGCUUCUCAGGUCAGUCACCAUGAUUUCCAUCUAAUUUGAGUAUUUAUUUCGUCAAAAGGUACUAAUUAUAAGGUACAAACUAAAGAAAUCAGCAAACUUUCAUGUAAAGUCUGGAAUUACUCACUGAAUCUAAAUGCUCUACCAAUGUUUUGAGGAGAAAGUCAUCACACCAAGUUACCAAACUUGAUGCAAUUAAUUAUAGUUUGUACCUUAUAAUUGUUCAUUGCAAUGGGAUGGAUGCAUGAUUGUCCACUAUUAGUUUGAUUUUGGUAGCUCACUAGAGUUAUGUUCAUGGACUGUUGGAAGUAAUAUUAAUUAGGAUUUUGUAUUGUAUUAUCUCUGCCCACUAACUUUUUUGUUUAGUGUAUUAUAUAAUUCAUUUCUUUUACAGGUGCAAUGAAUCAUGGCGACUGGCCAACUUUUCUCUAAAACUACCCAAGCAUUAUUCUACAAUUACAAGCAACUUCCCAUCCAACAGAUGCUUGAUUUAGACUUCCUUUGUGGGAGAGAAACACCUCCUGUGCUUGAAUAACAAUCCUGGUUCUUAUGAUUUUUAGAAACUUUUCUUUGGACAAGUGAAAUUGCUAUUCCAGUUCAUCCCACUAUUAAAGUUGUCUAUAGUGCACACCCAACAGCUGAUGUAUUUAUCAACUUUGCAUCCUUCCGAAGUGUUGCUAUGUCUUCAAUGUCAGCUUUGAUGUGGCCAACAAUAAGGGUUGUGGCCAUUAUCGUUAGUGUGUUUCUGAAUCAGAUGUCGAGUAGCUAAUUUGUUAUGUGUCUGCUAAUAACAAGGUAAGGACUACUUAACCAACUGUUUUAAGAAAAAAAUAGAUGGUUCAUUUACAAGUUGUCAUCCGAACAAUACAUUUCCAUAUAUAGGAUUAUAUCCAUGUAUACAAGUUUAUAAAAAACUUUUGGUUCAUCGAAGACAAUGUUAUUGGCACACUCCAUGUCAUCUGCAUAUUGUCCCUUAUUUUUAGUAAAUAGUUUAAAUAC